UAAGGUGAGGUUUUAACCUUUUGGAUUCAAGAGGUGGGUUUCUCUAGUACGGAUGUUUUGUACAUGAUACAUUGUAAAUUUUUUUGGGCUAAAUUAUCAAAUUGGCAUUUUGGCAGGAGUCUAUUCAAAUUAUGGCCACAUUUGAUUGCCUCAUGAAGACUUAUGGGUUCCUGGCACCAGACUGCAAAGAGUACAUGAAUAUACUGCAAAGAGUUAAAGAAGAGAGGGAACUAAAAUAAAUGCGGAAAAGAAGGAUAACUACAUGCUAUAUUAUUGUAUAAUGUCUACAUAUGUUUUCCUUUACUGAUCUUCAUUGCUUAUUGCGGUAGGAAACCCCCUCGACCAAUAUUUCCAGGUCCUUGUGAAGACAUUUUUCCUUGCGACAUGAUUUGGGACCGUCCAGGGCCUUGAACAAAUGAUGUAUUUUUGUUUGUCGAUAUUUGCAAUUUGUUGAAAUACAUUUAAAUACUGAAUAUGUCUUUGAAAUAACUCCAUAUUGUGAGUAGUGAUAGUUUUUGUCUAAA
Long non-coding RNA from Asparagus officinalis (garden asparagus), 524 nucleotides. RefSeq lists it as uncharacterized. NCBI's taxonomy places the organism in Eukaryota, Viridiplantae, Streptophyta, Magnoliopsida, Asparagales, Asparagaceae. The record is from RefSeq and is a predicted model, not a curated record. The transcript has 2 exons.